This 201-nucleotide long non-coding RNA is filed under the name Panax ginseng (ginseng). RNAcentral's name for it is "long non-coding RNA (PGIN_LNC004818)". The record is from RNAcentral. Lineage: Eukaryota; Viridiplantae; Streptophyta; Magnoliopsida; Apiales; Araliaceae.
UACAUGGCAAUUAAAUGUAAUAUUUAAUCACUAGAUGGUAAUUCUUAUCAUUUACCAAUUAAUUUCUAUCCUUUGGUAAAUUAAAAUAUUUAUACAAUAACAUCGUAAUUAAACCCGGUAAUUUAAAUUAGGGUUUUCUAUAGAAAAAUUAGGGUUCUAUAAUUAGGGUUUCUUAACGUCAUCAAUUAGGGUUUCUAAUUG